UUAACCGAAUAGGGGAGCCGGAGGGAAACCGAGUCUUAAUUGGGCGUUAAGUUGCAGGGUAUAGACCCGAAACCCGGUGAUCUAGCCAUGGGCAGGUUGAAGGUUGGGUAACACUAACUGGAGGACCGAACCGACUAAUGUUGAAAAAUUAGCGGAUGACCUGUGGCUGGGGGUGAAAGGCCAAUCAAACCGGGAGAUAGCUGGUUCUCCCCGAAAGCUAUUUAGGUAGCGCCUCGUGAAUUCAUCUCCGGGGGUAGAGCACUGUUUCGGCUAGGGGGCCAUCCCGGCUUACCAACCCGAUGCAAACUGCGAAUACCGGAGAAUGUUAUCACGGGAGACACACGGCGGGUGCUAACGUCCGUCGUGAAGAGGGAAACAACCCAGACCGCCAGCUAAGGUCCCAAAGUCAUGGUUAAGUGGGAAACGAUGUGGGAAGGCCCAGACAGCCAGGAUGUUGGCUUAGAAGCAGCCAUCAUUUAAAGAAAGCGUAAUAGCUCACUGGUCGAGUCGGCCUGCGCGGAAGAUGUAACGGGGCUAAACCAUGCACCGAAGCUGCGGCAGCGACGCUUAUGCGUUGUUGGGUAGGGGAGCGUUCUGUAAGCCUGCGAAGGUGGCCUGUGAGGGUUGCUGGAGGUAUCAGAAGUGCGAAUGCUGACAUAAGUAACGAUAAAGCGGGUGAAAAGCCCGCUCGCCGGAAGACCAAGGGUUCCUGUCCAACGUUAAUCGGGGCAGGGUGAGUCGACCCCUAAGGCGAGGCCGAAAGGCGUAGUCGAUGGGAAACGGGUUAAUAUUCCCGUACUUGGUGUUACUGCGAAGGGGGGACGGAGAAGGCUAUGUUGGCCGGGCGACGGUUGUCCCGGUUUAAGCGUGUAGGUGUGUGUUCCAGGUAAAUCCGGUUCACUUUAACACUGAGGCGUGACGACGAGGCACUACGGUGCUGAAGCAACAAAUGCCCUGCUUCCAGGAAAAGCCUCUAAGCAUCAGGUAACAUCAAAUCGUACCCCAAACCGACACAGGUGGUCAGGUAGAGAAUACCAAGGCGCUUGAGAGAACUCGGGUGAAGGAACUAGGCAAAAUGGUGCCGUAACUUCGGGAGAAGGCACGCUGACACGUAGGUGAAGUGAUUUACUCAUGGAGCUGAAGUCAGUCGAAGAUACCAGCUGGCUGCAACUGUUUAUUAAAAACACAGCACUGUGCAAACACGAAAGUGGACGUAUACGGUGUGACGCCUGCCCGGUGCCGGAAGGUUAAUUGAUGGGGUCAGCGCAAGCGAAGCUCCUGAUCGAAGCCCCGGUAAACGGCGGCCGUAACUAUAACGGUCCUAAGGUAGCGAAAUUCCUUGUCGGGUAAGUUCCGACCUGCACGAAUGGCGUAAUGAUGGCCAGGCUGUCUCCACCCGAGACUCAGUGAAAUUGAACUCGCUGUGAAGAUGCAGUGUACCCGCGGCAAGACGGAAAGACCCCGUGAACCUUUACUAUAGCUUGACACUGAACAUUGAGCCUUGAUGUGUAGGAUAGGUGGGAGGCUUUGAAGUGUGGACGCCAGUCUGCAUGGAGCCGACCUUGAAAUACCACCCUUUAAUGUUUGAUGUUCUAACGUGGACCCGUUACCCGGGUUGCGGACAGUGUCUGGUGGGUAGUUUGACUGGGGCGGUCUCCUCCUAAAGAGUAACGGAGGAGCACGAAGGUUGGCUAAUCCUGGUCGGACAUCAGGAGGUUAGUGCAAUGGCAUAAGCCAGCUUGACUGCGAGCGUGACGGCGCGAGCAGGUGCGAAAGCAGGUCAUAGUGAUCCGGUGGUUCUGAAUGGAAGGGCCAUCGCUCAACGGAUAAAAGGUACUCCGGGGAUAACAGGCUGAUACCGCCCAAGAGUUCAUAUCGACGGCGGUGUUUGGCACCUCGAUGUCGGCUCAUCACAUCCUGGGGCUGAAGUAGGUCCCAAGGGUAUGGCUGUUCGCCAUUUAAAGUGGUACGCGAGCUGGGUUUAGAACGUCGUGAGACAGUUCGGUCCCUAUCUGCCGUGGGCGCUGGAGAACUGAGGGGGGCUGCUCCUAGUACGAGAGGACCGGAGUGGACGCAUCACUGGUGUUCGGGUUGUCAUGCCAAUGGCACUGCCCGGUAGCUAAAUGCGGAAGAGAUAAGUGCUGAAAGCAUCUAAGCACGAAACUUGCCCCGAG
Molecule: ribosomal RNA, 2174 nt
Filed under: Salmonella enterica subsp. enterica serovar Enteritidis
Lineage: Bacteria; Pseudomonadati; Pseudomonadota; Gammaproteobacteria; Enterobacterales; Enterobacteriaceae
Description: partial 23S ribosomal RNA
Rfam family: Bacterial large subunit ribosomal RNA
Source: RNAcentral